This 441-nucleotide unclassified non-coding RNA is filed under the name Hevea brasiliensis (rubber tree). The record is from RNAcentral. Lineage: Eukaryota; Viridiplantae; Streptophyta; Magnoliopsida; Malpighiales; Euphorbiaceae.
CAUUUUUUUUUAAUUUUUUUGUUUGUCUAAACUUCAAAUUUUAGAGCAAUUUUUCUUAAUUUGCAUCACGUGUUGUCAUGUGAUGAAUAUAUAUAUAUAUUUUCAUACACUGUCUUCUUUUUCUCAACAUUAAAAUAGCUUAGCCUUAACUCUUUCAAUCCAAUAAUCGAAGACCAACGGCGGCGAAAGGGAGGAUCGAUGAAGCAAAGGAGCAACGACAAUGCUAAUCGAAACGUGAGGGGAGAGAUACUUAGAGAAUCGAAGCAGCGGGUUGAUUCAUUUAUUUGUUUUUUCUGCUUUUUGGUCUUCUUCAUUUUUGGAAUCAAUUUACCAACGCAGCCAUAUUGGGAUUUCAUUCAAUUUACCUACACUUUAAGAGAUUUAGAUUUGUGGCAUUUGAUUAUACUGGAUAUUUUGUGACGUGCUGAGACGGAAUGUGCA